ACCGAAUCGAAAUUUCUCUUUGUUUCGGAGCUCUCGAGCAGAACUAAUUGUAAUUCGUUUCGGUCGAAAAAUUCCGCCUCGUGGAAUCAGGCCUUUAAAGGCCGGAUUCCACGAGGCGGAAUUUUUCGACCGAAACGAAAUUUCUCUUUGUCUUUUUACAAUUAGUUCUGCUCGAGAGCUCAUGAAACAAAGAGAAAUUUCAAUUCGGUCGAAAAAUUUCGCCUAGUGGAAAACCGCCUUAAGGCCGGAUUCCACGAGGCGGAAUUUUUCGACCGAAACGAAAUUUCUCUUUGUCUUUUUACAAUUAGUUCUGCUCGAGAGCUCUGAAACAAAGAGAANNNNNNNNNNNNNNNNNNNNCUUAAGCCCUGAUUCCACGAGCGCUUUUUGUCAGCGAAAUGCGAAAUAUUUCGCCUGUUUCUUUUGAAUUGCGACCACUCGAAUAAAUUAUUUCUACUUGAUUGCUCACAAUUCAAAAGAAACAGGCGAAAUAUUUCGCUGACAAAAAGCGCUCGUGGAAUCAAGCCUUUAGAUGUUGUUUUACAUAAGUAAGAUCCUUUUGUUUUACAACUAGUAAUAUACAGGGUGUAUAAAAAAAAGCGCAACCUCGGAAUUUCCCAAGAAAUCGAUAUUGUUUUAAAGACAAAAGAUUUUAGGCGCCUGGGAAUUUAAAAUAGCAUAACUGUCAAAAUUACUGCACACGCGAGUGCAUAAAGCAAAAUUUAUGCAUUUAUUUAAUGCACAACAACAGUAAUAUGAUCUAUUAGCAAUUCGAUUUCAAUUCCCAGGGGCCUAAAAUCUUUUAUGCUUAAGAAUUGCAAAGUGAUUUCUUAGGAAAUUCCAAGGUUGCGUUUUUUUUUAUACACCCUGUACUUGUCCAAAAAUACGCAUCUAAAUCGCAAAUUUUCCAUUCUUUAGAAAAACUGUAUUGAGCCACUUUAAACGUGCACACUCGACAAUAGCAACACAUACUUGUUAAUUUAAUCGUAAGGUCUCAGUUCUCUAGUAGCAAACCUGGCAGAAUUCAUUGGAUUUUUGAACUUUUUAACUUCGAAGAAUGUUGUGUUGUUUGUGAGCAUGCUUAACUUUGGGAAUUUUUUCCCCCGGGGAAAGGCGAAAUUUAAAUUUCAUCAAAGAUCGCGCUAAAGUUUAUCAGUAAUCGCGGGCUUGGGUGACCGUGCGUGAUUGGGUG
Molecule: long non-coding RNA, 1190 nt
Filed under: Paramuricea clavata
Lineage: Eukaryota; Metazoa; Cnidaria; Anthozoa; Malacalcyonacea; Plexauridae
Source: RNAcentral